GACGAACGCUGGCGGCGUGCUUAACACAUGCAAGUCGAACGGUGAAGCGCCUUCCUUUUUGGUGGGUGUGGAUGAGUGGCGAACGGGUGAGUAACACGUUAGUAACCUGCCCCCUUCUUCUGGAUAACCGCAUGAAAGUGUGGCUAAUACGGGAUAUUCUGGGUCUGUCGCAUGAUGGGUCUGGGAAAGAUAUUGUUUCGGUGGGGGAUGGGCUCGCGGCCUAUCAGCUUGUUGGUGAGGUGAUGGCCUACCAAGGCGAUGAGGAGUAGCCGGCCUGAGAGGGUCGGCCGUCACACAGGGGAGGCGACACGGACAAGACUACUACGGGCGGCAGCAGGGGGGAAUAUGGAACGGUGGGCGGAAGGCUGAUGCAGCGACGCGGCGUGAGGGAUGGAGGCCUGCGGGUUGUGAACCUCUUUCGCGAGUGAAGAAGGGCGGCCUCGUUUGUGGGUGGGUUGACGGUAGCUGGAUAAGAAGCGCCGGCUAACUACGUG
RNAcentral lists this ribosomal RNA (494 nucleotides) under uncultured bacterium. Its description in RNAcentral is "partial 16S ribosomal RNA". It matches the Rfam family "Bacterial small subunit ribosomal RNA", at positions 28 to 507 of the family's 1533-position model. The record is from RNAcentral.